ACAUCUUAGUCUCGUUGGUGACAGCGGAGGGAUCAUUA
RNAcentral lists this ribosomal RNA (38 nucleotides) under Fusarium solani. RNAcentral's name for it is "partial 18S ribosomal RNA". The record is from RNAcentral. Lineage: Eukaryota; Fungi; Ascomycota; Sordariomycetes; Hypocreales; Nectriaceae.